GCCCGGAACUGAACCAUUUCGAGAAAAGUGGGGACGGACGACUUGAGGCCUUCACGGGCUUCUUGUUGACGGAAACCGCCUUAAUCGCAGUGGUUUGAACCGGGCAAAAGUCGUAACAAGGUUUCCGUAGGUGAACCUGCGGAAGGAUCAUCACUGAGUUUGCGAGCUUGUCUUGCUUUCUUGGAACUGUUGGUGUAUCUGGGACGGCGAGAGCUGUUUCGGAUACGUGUUACAACCAACUUUGGCCGGCUCGUGUCUUUCAGACUCGCGUCGGGAACAGUUGACCGAGUCAUUCGUAUUCUUGCACAUGCCUAGCAAGGGCGAUUCGGUUGACUAAGUGUAUCGGUGCCUACGUUGUCUAAACAGCAACGGGAGGGCUGCUAGUGUACCCUGGUAUACCGGCGGCUCAGGCUUAAAGAGCGACCAGACCUGGUUGCCGCCGAGACAGACCCAACAUAUUAUAAACCUAUAUUCUCAAAUUGAUGAGUCGGUCCUUGCGGACUGGCAAGUCUAAACUAUUAUUCCGAGCGGUGGAUCACUCGGCACAUGGGUCGAUGAAGAGCGCAGCUAGCUGCGUUACUUAAUGCAAAUUGCAGAUACAUUGAGCAUCGACAUCUUGAACGCAUAUUGCGGCUUUGGGACUUCCAUCUCAAAGCCACGCCUGUUCGAGGGCUGAACAAGUAUAGAAGUUCGCUUGCCUCUGCCAGAGCAAGCGGUGCGCUUCAGUUUGUGUGUCUUCGGACGUACUUUCUUGUUGCAAUACUUGGUGGCUCGUGCUUGCACGUUUCACACGACUGAAAAGUCUGACAGUUCCGAUCUAAGACCGGUCGUGUCGGAUGGUGUUGCAUAAACUCCAAAUGACUAGGAGUGUAGCAGUGCUGUCUGACUGAUCGCGUUCUUGGUUGGUCUCU
RNAcentral lists this unclassified non-coding RNA (911 nucleotides) under Halomonhystera sp. JvC-2013. Its description in RNAcentral is "partial sequence contains 18S rRNA gene, ITS1, 5.8S rRNA gene, ITS2 and 28S rRNA gene". The stretch from base 520 to 675 matches the Rfam family "5.8S ribosomal RNA". Lineage: Eukaryota; Metazoa; Nematoda; Chromadorea; Monhysterida; Monhysteridae. The record is from RNAcentral.